This 1128-nucleotide unclassified non-coding RNA is filed under the name Leishmania donovani. Its description in RNAcentral is "gene:LdHU3.27.1500(CDS-product:hypothetical_prote in_conserved)". Lineage: Eukaryota; Euglenozoa; Kinetoplastea; Trypanosomatida; Trypanosomatidae. The record is from RNAcentral.
CAGGAAACCGAUAAGGCAAGAGUAGCACGGCAUGCUGCGUCGGUGCUUCUCACGGCUUGAGGUCCCGCGCCCCGCUGUGGAGCGCCGCAAGCGCCGCGGCCGUGCUGAGGUCGGCGGGGCCAAAAAGGUCGGGUCUCGCAACCCUGGAAUGCCCGACCUACCCAAGAGUGCUGGCGGAUACGUUUUCCAGCAGCUGCGACCGCGCCUGCCGAUUCGCUGGCAAUACGGCUGGCGGUGGAGCAGUCUCAAAGCGGUCUGGGUGGGGGGCUGGUCAUCGUUUAUCUGCUAUGUAGCUUACGUCAUGUUCUUCAAGUAUACAGACAGCGAGAUUGCGGAACAGGCGACUCAGUACACCUAUGUGCGCAACGACCGUGGGGACGUGGUGGACAUCGGUUUCAAGCCCAUCGUAGACGCCGGAAGGCGGGCCCGCCGCCGUGCUGACCGACUGCUUGAUCCCGACGAGCGGGACUAGCGGAGAACAGGCGAGAGAAGAGGAGGGGUGGGCUGGCAGAGCGGGGAGGAGGGAAGCUGCUGCUUUGUGCACAGCGUCCUUCCUCGGAGGUGUUUGACACGACAGACCUUUUUUUUUUCUUCCUUUAGCGGUGGGUCGAAGUUCUGCCCUCCUGUCCCUCCCCCCUGGGGGUGGGUGGGUGUGCUUGUUUGUCGUCGUUGUACCGCUUUUAGUCGCACGGUGUCGCGAGCGGGCGCCUUCUCAGCUGCCUUUCUUUCUCUUGAAUCACAGGUACAACCGUAAGAUAAUUGCCGUCAAGAGCACAAGGUUGAGUGACUUCGACACUACGAUCAUGCCACGCCACGCCUGGCUCUCUCUACGAAGUACCUCCUUCCUCCUCGACGCCACAUGGGUUGCCGAACUCGACAGUUUCGUUUGGUCGGUGUGCCGAGGGGCAACAGAAGUGGCAGCGUGCCGCGCCACACGGAGGCGCAGCCUCAUACGGGCGCAUCAGCGGACUUUGAAGCACCGCAAGUCGAUCAAGCUGUGCUUGUGACGUUCCCACUGUCUUUCGCUGAUUCUGCUCUCCGGCGAUCUCGCGUUGCGCUGCUCCUUUUUUUUUUCAUCUUGUUCGUGUGUGCAUUUUUGCCUUCAUAUCGCCGAUGGGUGGCGGAAAG